Molecule: transfer RNA, 65 nt
Filed under: Dipodomys ordii (Ord's kangaroo rat)
Lineage: Eukaryota; Metazoa; Chordata; Mammalia; Rodentia; Heteromyidae
Rfam family: tRNA
About the family: Transfer RNA (tRNA) molecules are approximately 80 nucleotides in length. Their secondary structure includes four short double-helical elements and three loops (D, anti-codon, and T loops).
Source: Rfam by way of RNAcentral
GGAGGCUCAGUGGUAGAGCACUUGCCUAGCAUGCAUGAAGCCCUGAGUUCCAUUCCUCAGCACCA